This 253-nucleotide ribosomal RNA is filed under the name uncultured bacterium. Its description in RNAcentral is "partial 16S ribosomal RNA". It matches the Rfam family "Bacterial small subunit ribosomal RNA", at positions 524 to 776 of the family's 1533-position model. The record is from RNAcentral.
UGCGUAGGUGGCAAGCGUUGUCCGGAAUUAUUGGGCGUAAAGCGCGCGCAGGUGGUUUAAUAAGUCUGAUGUGAAAGCCCACGGCUCAACCGUGGAGGGUCAUUGGAAACUGGAAAACUUGAGUGCGGAAGAGGAAAGUGGAAUUCCAUGUGUAGCGGUGAAAUGCGCAGAGAUAUGGAGGAACACCGGUGGCGAAGGCGACUUUCUGGUCUGCAACUGACGCUGAUGUGCGAAAGCGUGGGGAUCAAACAGG